This 253-nucleotide ribosomal RNA is filed under the name uncultured bacterium. RNAcentral describes it as "partial 16S ribosomal RNA". It matches the Rfam family "Bacterial small subunit ribosomal RNA", at positions 524 to 776 of the family's 1533-position model. The record is from RNAcentral.
UACGUAGGGGGCGAGCGUUGUCCGGAGUUACUGGGCGUAAAGCGCACGCAGGCGGUCAGCUAAGUGUGGGGUGACAGGUCACGGCUUAACCGUGGCAGUGCCGUGCAGACUGGCUGACUUGAGGGCCAAAGAGGGACAGGGAACUCCAGGUGUAGUGGUGAAAUGCGUAGAUAUCUGGAAGAACACCAAUGGCGAAGGCACUGUCCUGGGAGGUUUCUGACGCUGAGGUGCGAAAGCUAGGGGAGCGAACGGG